Callithrix jacchus (white-tufted-ear marmoset) is the source of this 126-nucleotide small nuclear RNA. NCBI's taxonomy places the organism in Eukaryota, Metazoa, Chordata, Mammalia, Primates, Cebidae. The record is from Ensembl.
AUCAUCCUUUUCUUGGGGUUGUGCUGCUGUCCAGUGAGCACAUAGUGAGGGCAGUACUGCUAAGGCCUAACCAACACACCCGUAUCAGCUGGAGCUUUGCUUUACCUUUGUGCAAUUUUUGGAAAA